GACUGUAGCCACAUUUUUUC
Molecule: small nuclear RNA, 20 nt
Filed under: Arabidopsis thaliana (thale cress)
Lineage: Eukaryota; Viridiplantae; Streptophyta; Magnoliopsida; Brassicales; Brassicaceae
Description: snRNA_09973
Source: RNAcentral